CAGAGUAAUAUCUGCCCGUGUAACCCGUGAUAACAGGGUCUUCACCCGUAAUUGUACGUGUAAUUGGUUACAUGUGCCCGUAAUUCACCUGCAGCACUGCGUAAUAUCCACCCGUAAUCACUGGGUAUUCACCCAUAAUUGUGCGGGUAAUCGGCUACAUGCGCCCGUAAUUCACCUGCAGCACCGCGUAAUAUCCACCCGUAAUCACUGGGUAUUCACCCAUAAUUGUGCGGGUAAUUGGCUACAUGCACCCGUAAUUCACCUGCAGCACCGCGUAAUAUCCACCCGUAAUCACUGGAUAUUCACCCGUAAUUGUGCGUGUAAUUGGUUACAUGCGCCCGUAAUUCACCUGCAGCACCGCGUAAUAUGCACCCGUAAUCACUGGGUAUUCACCCAUAAUUGUGCGUGUAAUUGGUUACAUGCGCCCGUAAUUCACCUGCAGCACCGCGUAAUAUGCACCCGUAAUCACUGGGUAUUCACCCAUAAUUGUGCGUGUAAUUGGUUACAUGCGCCCGUAAUUCACCUGCAGCACC
Molecule: long non-coding RNA, 533 nt
Filed under: Volvox carteri
Lineage: Eukaryota; Viridiplantae; Chlorophyta; Chlorophyceae; Chlamydomonadales; Volvocaceae
Description: long non-coding RNA (VCAR_LNC002972)
Source: RNAcentral